AGGAACAGAGAUAAAAACACAACGUAAGGGAUAACAUUUCUUACAGAGCCGGUAGGUAGUCCGGCCGCACCGCUAUGGCUGUCAUGCAUCCGUAAGGAACUGCCAGUGACAACUGCUGCAGGUGUAAGUAACCCUCCCUCCUUGGGUCGUCCGUUCUUUGUUCAGUACAA
This is a regulatory RNA element of Marvinbryantia formatexigens DSM 14469, 170 nucleotides long. It matches the Rfam family "azaaromatic riboswitch aptamer (yjdF RNA)". Lineage: Bacteria; Bacillati; Bacillota; Clostridia; Lachnospirales; Lachnospiraceae. The record is from Rfam.